UUAGAGGUGCCAGAAGAAGAUGGGUUAGAUUUAGGAUUUAAUUAUGGGCGGUUGUCCCCUUUAGU
Molecule: transfer RNA, 65 nt
Filed under: Holostephanus sp. FJ-2023
Lineage: Eukaryota; Metazoa; Platyhelminthes; Trematoda; Diplostomida; Cyathocotylidae
Description: tRNA-Leu
Source: RNAcentral